UACGGGGGGAGCAAGCGUUGUUCGGAUUUACUGGGCGUAAAGGGCGCGUAGGCGGCCACCGCAAGUCAGUUGUGAAAUCUCUGGGCUUAACCCAGAAAGGUCAACUGAUACUGCGGGGCUAGAGUGCAGAAGGGGCAGCUGGAAUUCUCGGUGUAGCGGUGAAAUUCGUAGAUAUUCGCAAGAACACCAGUGGCGAAGGCGGCUCACUGGCCCGGUACUGACGCUGAGGUGCGAAAGCGUGGGGAGCAAACAGG
RNAcentral lists this ribosomal RNA (254 nucleotides) under uncultured bacterium. RNAcentral's name for it is "partial 16S ribosomal RNA". It matches the Rfam family "Bacterial small subunit ribosomal RNA", at positions 524 to 776 of the family's 1533-position model. The record is from RNAcentral.